AUGUGAAGUCUUACCUGCCCAGUGAAUAUUUUUAACGGCCGCGGUACUCUGACCGUGCAAAGGUAGCAUAAUAAUUUGCUUUAUAAUUGAAGGCUAGAAUGAAUGGUUUGUCAAGGGUGAAACUGUCUCUAAUAGAUUUUAUAAAAUUUUAUCUUUAGGUGAAAAAGCCUAAAUUAUAUUAAAAGACAAGAAGACCCUAUCGAGCUUUAAAUAAAUUAGUAAAAUCUUAAGUUAUUCUUAAAAACUAAGUUACUAAAGAUUUUGGUUGGGGCAACCGAGGAGUAAAAAAAGCCUCCUAUUAUUAAUACUAUUAUAUUGAUCCAGAAAAUCUGAUUAUAAGAAAUAGUUACCGUAGGGAUAACAGCAUUAUUCUUUUUAAGAGUUCUUAUCGAAAAAAGAGUUUGUGACCUCGAUGUUGGACCAGAAUAUCCCAAAGAUGCAGAAGUCUUUAAAGGUUGGUCUGUUCGACCAUUAAAAUUCUA
This 482-nucleotide ribosomal RNA is filed under the name Rimosodaphnella sp. NP-2008. RNAcentral describes it as "partial 16S ribosomal RNA". It matches the Rfam family "Bacterial large subunit ribosomal RNA", at positions 1845 to 2598 of the family's 2925-position model. Lineage: Eukaryota; Metazoa; Mollusca; Gastropoda; Neogastropoda; Raphitomidae. The record is from RNAcentral.